Molecule: ribosomal RNA, 466 nt
Filed under: uncultured bacterium
Lineage: Bacteria
Description: partial 16S ribosomal RNA
Rfam family: Bacterial small subunit ribosomal RNA
Source: RNAcentral
GACGAACGCUGGCGGCGUGCUUAACACAUGCAAGUCGAACGGAAAGGCCCUGCUUGCAGGGUACUCGCGUGGCGAACGGGUGAGUAACACGUGGGUGAUCUGCCCUGCACUUCGGGAUAUGCCUGGGAAACUGGGUCUAAUACCGGAUAGGAGCCAUUUUUAGUGUGAUGGUUGGAAAGUUUUUUUCGGUGUAGGAUGAGCUCGCGGCCUAUCAGCUUGUUGUUGGGGUAAUGGCCUACCAAGGCGGCGACGGGUAGCCGGCCUGAGAGGGUGGACGGCCAAAUUGGGACUGAGAUACGGCCCAGACUCCUACGGGAGGCAGCAGUGGGGAAUAUUGCACAAUGGGCGCAAGCCUGAUGCAGCGACGCCGCGUGGGGGAUGACGGCCUUCGGGUUGGAAACUCCUUUCGCUAGGGACGAAGCUUUUUGUGACGGUACCUAGAUAAGAAGCACCGGCUAACUACGUG